CCUACGGGUGGCAGCAGUGAGGAAUAUUGGUCAAUGGCCGGAAGGCUGAACCAGCCAAGCCGCGUGAAGGACGAAGGUGCCAAGCAUUGUAAACUUCUUUUGUCAAGGGACAAAAUCAGGCUCGAGAGCCUGACCGCGGGUACUUUAAGAAAAAGCAUCGGCUAACUCCGUGCCAGCAGCCGCGGUAAUACGGAGGAUGCGAGCGUUAUCCGGAUUUAUUGGGUUUAAAGGGUGCGUAGGCGGGCUGUUCAGUCAGCGGUAAAAGCCCGGGGCUCAACCCCGGCGAGCCGUUGAAACUGGCGGGCUGGAGAGGGCGAGAGGUAGGCGGAAUGCGCAGUGUAGCGGUGAAAUGCUUAGAUAUUGCGCAGAACUCCGAUUGCGAAGGCAGCAUACCGGAGGCGAUCUGACGCUGAGGCACGAAAGCGUGGGUAUCGAACAGGAUUAGAUACCCCUGUAGUC
This 459-nucleotide ribosomal RNA is filed under the name uncultured bacterium. Its description in RNAcentral is "partial 16S ribosomal RNA". It matches the Rfam family "Bacterial small subunit ribosomal RNA", at positions 338 to 795 of the family's 1533-position model. The record is from RNAcentral.